AAUGAACGUUGGCGGCGUGGAUUAGGCAUGCAAGUCGAGCGAGAACCCCGCAAGGGGGGACAGCGGCGCAAGGGACAGUAAUGUGUAGAUCAUCUGCCCUCAGGUCCGGGAUAGCUGCGGGAAACUGCAGGUAAUACCGGAUAACAUCUCCGGAUCAAAGGUGUGAUUCCGCCUGAGGAUGAGUCUGCAUCCUAUUAGCUAGUUGGCAGGGUAACGGCCUACCAAGGCAUUGAUGGGUAGCGGGUGUGAGAGCACGACCCGCGUCAUUGGGACUGAGACACGGCCCAGACACCUACGGGUGGCUGCAGUCGAGAAUCUNNNGCAAUGGGCGCAAGCCUGACCGAGCGACGCCGCGUGUGGGAUGAAGGCCUUCGGGUUGUAAACCACUGUCAGAGGGGAUGAAAUGCAGGUGGGUUCUNCCAUCUGUUUGACAUAGCCUCAGAGGAAGGACGGGCUAAGUUCGUGCCAGCCGCCGCCGUAA
Molecule: ribosomal RNA, 481 nt
Filed under: uncultured bacterium
Lineage: Bacteria
Description: partial 16S ribosomal RNA
Rfam family: Bacterial small subunit ribosomal RNA
Source: RNAcentral